GACGAACGCUGGCGGCGUGCUUAACACAUGCAAGUCGAACGAAGUGGCGAACGGGUGAGUAACGCGUAAUCCACCUGCCCUUCAGAGGGGGCCAACAGUUGGACACGACUGCUAAUACCGCAUACUUCAGGAGGGGAUUGCGUCUGAGUAGCUAGUUGGAGGGGUAACGGCCCACCAAGGCGAUGAUCAGUAUCCGGUCUGAGAGGAUGAACGGACACAUGGGGACUGAGACACGGCCCAGACUACCACGGGAGGCAGCAGUGGGGAAUCUUCCGCAAUGGACGAAAGUCUGACGGAGCAACGCCGCGGGAGUGAUGACGGCCUUCGGGUUGUAAAGCUCUGUUAAGCGGGACGCGGUACCGGAAUAGAAAGCCACGGCUAACUACGUGCCAGCAGCCGCGGUAAUUC
This 408-nucleotide ribosomal RNA is filed under the name uncultured bacterium. RNAcentral's name for it is "partial 16S ribosomal RNA". It matches the Rfam family "Bacterial small subunit ribosomal RNA", at positions 28 to 526 of the family's 1533-position model. The record is from RNAcentral.